ACUGCUAAUAAUAAUGCUGCUUGUACUAAUGAUACUGCUGCUUUGAUUAUACAAGAUGACGGUCGUAGUGAUGAUAUCAUUUCAACGGUGGUUGGUUAUUUCAAGGCAACAGAAAUAA
RNAcentral lists this small RNA (118 nucleotides) under Fragilariopsis kerguelensis. Its description in RNAcentral is "partial Alphaproteobacteria transfer-messenger RNA". The record is from RNAcentral. Lineage: Eukaryota; Bacillariophyta; Bacillariophyceae; Bacillariales; Bacillariaceae.